This 253-nucleotide ribosomal RNA is filed under the name uncultured bacterium. RNAcentral describes it as "partial 16S ribosomal RNA". It matches the Rfam family "Bacterial small subunit ribosomal RNA", at positions 524 to 776 of the family's 1533-position model. The record is from RNAcentral.
UACGUAGGGUGCAAGCGUUAAUCGGAAUUACUGGGCGUAAAGCGUGCGCAGGCGGCUUUGCAAGACAGAUGUGAAAUCCCCGGGCUUAACCUGGGAACUGCAUUUGUGACUGCAUGGCUGGAGUGCGGCAGAGGGGGAUGGAAUUCCGCGUGUAGCAGUGAAAUGCGUAGAGAUGUGGAGGAACACCGAUGGCGAAGGCAGCCCCCUGGGGUAACACUGACGCUCAUGCACGAAAGCGUGGGGAGCAAACAGG